This 464-nucleotide ribosomal RNA is filed under the name uncultured bacterium. RNAcentral's name for it is "partial 16S ribosomal RNA". It matches the Rfam family "Bacterial small subunit ribosomal RNA", at positions 29 to 507 of the family's 1533-position model. The record is from RNAcentral.
ACGAACGCUGGCGGCGUGCUUAACACAUGCAAGUCGAACGGAAAAGCCCUGCUUGCAGGGUACUCGAGUGGCGAACGGGUGAGUAACACGUGGGUGAUCUGCCCUGCACUUCGGGAUAAGCCUGGGAAACUGGGUCUAAUACCGGAUAGGAGCCAUUUUUAGUGUGAUGGUUGGAAAGUUUUUUCGGUGUAGGAUGAGCUCGCGGCCUAUCAGCUUGUUGGUGGGGUAAUGGCCUACCAAGGCGGCGACGGGUAGCCGGCCUGAGAGGGUGGACGGCCACAUUGGGACUGAGAUACGGCCCAGACUCCUACGGGAGGCAGCAGUGGGGAAUAUUGCACAAUGGGCGCAAGCCUGAUGCAGCGACGCCGCGUGGGGGAUGACGGCCUUCGGGUUGUAAACUCCUUUCGCUAGGGACGAAGCUUUUUGUGACGGUACCUAGAUAAGAAGCACCGGCUAACUACGUG